Molecule: long non-coding RNA, 553 nt
Organism: Oncorhynchus keta (chum salmon)
Lineage: Eukaryota; Metazoa; Chordata; Actinopteri; Salmoniformes; Salmonidae
Exons: 3
Source: RefSeq, a predicted model, not a curated record
ACACACACACACACAUCAUAUACAUUUAUUAUAUAUUAUAUUAUUAUUAUAUUAAUACAUCUGCCAAAAUAUACAAACACAUUGCAGGUCUUAGCGAUGACAAAUCCAGAUUCAGUCAGCAAAUCUCCCAAAAUAUCAUUGGACUCACGGCCAGACUGCUCACAACUCAAUCAAUCAAUCAAAUGUAUUUAUAUAGCCCUUCGUACAUCAGCUGAUAUCUGCUCACAACUGUACUCAUUGGCCCGGAGUCAGACAGAUUCACUUGAGUUACCUCCUGUAGUACAGGUAUAACAGGUGGGUUCCUCUCUGUCUAACCUCCUGUAGUACAGGUAUAACAGGUGGGUUCCUCUGUCUAACCUCCUGUAGUACAGGUGGGUUCCUCUGUCUAACCUCCUGUAGUACAGGUGGGUUCCUCUGUCUAACCUCCUGUAGUACAGGUGGGUUCCUCUGUCUAACCUCCUGUAGUACAGGUGGGUUCCUCUGUCUAACCUCCUGUAGUACAGGUGGGUUCCUCUGUCUAACCUCCUGUAGUACAGGUAUAACAGGUGGGUUC